Molecule: ribosomal RNA, 473 nt
Filed under: uncultured bacterium
Lineage: Bacteria
Description: bacterial SSU rRNA
Rfam family: Bacterial small subunit ribosomal RNA
Source: RNAcentral
GAUGAACGCUAGCGACAGGCUUAACACAUGCAAGUCGGGGGGCAGCGCAGCGGGGUAACUCGCGGGCGGCGACCGGCGCACGGGUGAGUAACGCGUAUGCAAACCUGCCCAUAGCAGCGGGAUAACCGGGAGAAAUUCCGACUAAUACCGCAUAUAUCUGUUUGUUGCAUGACAGACGGAGGAAAGGAGACGGCUAUGGAUGGGCAUGCGAGGCAUUAGGUAGUUGGCGGGGUAACGGCCCACCAAGCCGACGAUGCCUAGGGGUUCUGAGAGGAAGGUCCCCCACAUUGGUACUGAGACACGGACCAAACUCCUACGGGAGGCAGCAGUGAGGAAUAUUGGUCAAUGGGCGCAAGCCUGAACCAGCCAAAGUCGCGUGAAGGAAGACGGCCCUAUGGGUUGUAAAACUUCUUUAGGGUGGGAAACAAAAGGGACGCCACGCGUGGCGAGAUGAGUGUACCACCAGAAUAAGC